This 253-nucleotide ribosomal RNA is filed under the name uncultured bacterium. Its description in RNAcentral is "partial 16S ribosomal RNA". It matches the Rfam family "Bacterial small subunit ribosomal RNA", at positions 524 to 776 of the family's 1533-position model. The record is from RNAcentral.
UACGGGGGGGGCAAGCGUUGUUCGGAAUUACUGGGCGUAAAGGGCUCGUAGGCGGCCAACUAAGUCGGACGUGAAAUCCCCAGGCUCAACCUGGGAACUGCGUCCGAUACUGGAUGGCUUGAAUUCGGGAGAGGGAUGCAGAAUUCCAGGUGUAGCGGUGAAAUGCGUAGAUAUCUGGAGGAACACCGGUGGUGUAGACGGCUCUCUGGACCGUAACUGACGCUGAGACACGAAAGCGUGGGUAGCAAACAGG